Long non-coding RNA from Homo sapiens (human), 1457 nucleotides. Ensembl annotates it as maternally expressed 8, small nucleolar RNA host gene. Its record names the gene MEG8. The record is from Ensembl. Lineage: Eukaryota; Metazoa; Chordata; Mammalia; Primates; Hominidae.
AAAUGGUACCCCACUGUAACGUCUUUGACUAAGGAUGAUACAGGUGGUAGUUAUAGAUAAUGGUCAACCUCUGGGUCAAGGAAAGUUGCACAAAGUGUUCAUUUUCUUAAGAGAAAAUGAAAUAAUUAUCCUUCAGAUAGUGAUUUCUCAAAUGUUUUCCUAAAGGGAAGAUGAUAAACACAGAUCAUGGAGGACUGUUUUAUCUGUUUGUGAUCUGCCGUCCUCUGUGAGCCUCAGGAUGGAUGUUUGCCAGCCGAUUCCAUGGUUACAAGCUCUAUAGCUGCAUCUAUGUGUUAGGAGCAUGAAGACCAAUAAUGGAUGCACUGAGCUGAUUAUGAAUUUAGCCCUGAUGAAGACUUGUGUUGCUGUCAUGAUAUGAAAGAUUCCAGUAAUGAACGCACUUGAGUUGAUUCAAGCACGCUUCCAUGGUCAUGAGCUCUGUGGUUGCAUCUGUGUGUUAGGAGCAUGCAGACCAAUAGUGAUAAUCUCGAGGUGAUUUAUGCAUUCUUCCAUGGCCACCAGCCUUAUGAUUGCAUCUGUGCGUCACAGCUUAGAGAUCAAUAAUGGAUGCAACAAGCUCUUUGAAUCAUUCUGUUGGGAUCAAGAUUGUUGUGUUCCCUCUGUUUGGAAAGAGACCAAGAAUGGAUACGCUCAGGUGAUUUAAGCAGUCUUCCAUGGCCACGAGCUCUGUGGUUGCCUCUGUAUAUUAAGAGCACAGAGAUUAAAAAUGGGUGCACUUGAGCCGAUUGAAACAUUCCUCCUUGCAUCUUUCUUCUGUGAUUGCAUCUAUUUGUUAGUAGCAUAGAGACCAAUAAUAGAUGGCUUGUGCUGAUGGAAGGAUUCCUCCCUGGUGACAUGCUGUGUCUGCCUCUUGAUUGGGAGCACGCAGACCUACAAUGAUGCACUUUUUAUGAUUUGAGAAUUCCUUCAUGGUCACGUGCUCUGUUUUUAUCAUGGUUGGGAGCCUGCAGAGCAAUAAGGGACAUGCCUUUGCUGAUUUGAGGAUUCCUCUGAGGUUGGGAGCUAAGUUUGCAUCAUGCUUAGAAAGGAGUGUGCAGACCUGUAAUGAUUGCACUUUGCUGAUUGAAGGAUUCCUUCAAGUCCAUGUGCUCCACUUGCACCAUUUUUAGGAUGGAGCCUGGAGACCUAUGUAAGUAAUAGUGGAAGUCCUCACCUUGCUUUGGGUGGUUUGUUCAAGAGGGUUCAAUGUGUUACAAAAAGGUGUAUAUUAUAAUCAAAGAUGAGCAGUUGUAUUUAAAUAAACAUGGGCCUGAUGUGAGGAUUAUAUUGAAGAUAUAUACAUGAGAAACUGAGGAUAAUUAAUAAAAUAAAUAUUCCUAUAUGUUAGGAAUAUCAUGGCUAUUCUUGUGGUUUUGUAAAUCAUAGGGCUUAAAGUUAUGGUUAGUGAAUUAACAGAUUAGUCAAUAGACAAGGAGGAAACGAACCCAAAAAUAGAA